RNAcentral lists this ribosomal RNA (253 nucleotides) under uncultured bacterium. Its description in RNAcentral is "partial 16S ribosomal RNA". It matches the Rfam family "Archaeal small subunit ribosomal RNA", at positions 474 to 727 of the family's 1478-position model. The record is from RNAcentral.
UACCAGCACCCCGAGUGGUCGGGACGAUUAUUGGGCCUAAAGCAUCCGUAGCCGGUUCUACAAGUCUUCCGUUAAAUCCACCUGCUUAACAGAUGGGCUGCGGAGGAUACUAUAGAGCUAGGAGGCGGGAGAGGCAAGCGGUACUCAGUGGGUAGGGGUAAAAUCCGUUGAUCCAUUGAAGACCACCAGUGGCGAAGGCGGCUUGCCAGAAUGCGCUCGACGGUGAGGGAUGAAAGCUGGGGGAGCAAACCGG